GGGCCCGUGGCGUAGUAUGGAAGCGCGUCGGCCUUCGGAGCCGAUGGUCGUGGGUUCAAGUCCCACCGGGCCCG
RNAcentral lists this transfer RNA (74 nucleotides) under Candidatus Bathyarchaeota archaeon. RNAcentral describes it as "tRNA-Arg". It matches the Rfam family "tRNA". From Rfam's summary of the family: Transfer RNA (tRNA) molecules are approximately 80 nucleotides in length. Their secondary structure includes four short double-helical elements and three loops (D, anti-codon, and T loops). RNAcentral also lists the same sequence under 1 other name. Lineage: Archaea; Thermoproteati; Candidatus Bathyarchaeota. The record is from RNAcentral.